RNAcentral lists this ribosomal RNA (497 nucleotides) under uncultured bacterium. RNAcentral's name for it is "partial 16S ribosomal RNA". It matches the Rfam family "Bacterial small subunit ribosomal RNA", at positions 28 to 507 of the family's 1533-position model. The record is from RNAcentral.
GACGAACGCUGGCGGCGUGCCUAAUACAUGCAAGUCUAGCGACCAGACGAGGCGCUUGCUCCUCACACGUUAGCGACGGGUGGGUGAGUAACCCUUUGAUUACCUACCUAUCAGCCCGGGAUCACUUUGAUACACCGUAGCUACCACCGGUUAAUAUACUGGACCGCAUGGCUCAAUAGUGCAAGACGGUUUUGCUGUCACUUAUAGAUGGAUUCGCGCCGCAGUAGCUAGUUGGUAAGGUAACGGCUUACCAAGGCAACGAUGCGUAGCCGGCCUGAGAGGGUGAUCGGCCGCACUGGAACUGAGACACGGUCCAGACUCCUACGGGAGGCAGCAGUAGGGAAUCUGCCGCAAUGGGGGAAAGCCUGAAGGAGCGACGCAGCGAGAGUGAGGAAGGUCUUCGGAUCGUAAAACUGUAAUAUUAGGGUGGAACGAAUGUAUGAGGAACAAUGCACGGCUUGACGGUACCGGGUCAGAAAGCCACGGCUAACUACGUG